UUAAGCGACUAAGCGUACACGGUGGAUGCCCUGGCAGUCAGAGGCGAUGAAGGACGUGCUAAUCUGCGAUAAGCGUCGGUAAGGUGAUAUGAACCGUUAUAACCGGCGAUUUCCGAAUGGGGAAACCCAGUGUGUUUCGACACACUAUCAUUAACUGAAUCCAUAGGUUAAUGAGGCGAACCGGGGGAACUGAAACAUCUAAGUACCCCGAGGAAAAGAAAUCAACCGAGAUUCCCCCAGUAGCGGCGAGCGAACGGGGAGGAGCCCAGAGCCUGAAUCAGUAUGUGUGUUAGUGGAAGCGUCUGGAAAGGCGCGCGAUACAGGGUGACAGCCCCGUACACAAAAAUGCACAUGCUGUGAGCUCGAUGAGUAGGGCGGGACACGUGGUAUCCUGUCUGAAUAUGGGGGGACCAUCCUCCAAGGCUAAAUACUCCUGACUGACCGAUAGUGAACCAGUACCGUGAGGGAAAGGCGAAAAGAACCCCGGCGAGGGGAGUGAAAAAGAACCUGAAACCGUGUACGUACAAGCAGUGGGAGCACGCUUAGGCGUGUGACUGCGUACCUUUUGUAUAAUGGGUCAGCGACUUAUAUUCUGUAGCAAGGUUAACCGAAUAGGGGAGCCGAAGGGAAACCGAGUCUUAACUGGGCGUUAAGUUGCAGGGUAUAGACCCGAAACCCGGUGAUCUAGCCAUGGGCAGGUUGAAGGUUGGGUAACACUAACUGGAGGACCGAACCGACUAAUGUUGAAAAAUUAGCGGAUGACUUGUGGCUGGGGGUGAAAGGCCAAUCAAACCGGGAGAUAGCUGGUUCUCCCCGAAAGCUAUUUAGGUAGCGCCUCGUGAAUUCAUCUCCGGGGGUAGAGCACUGUUUCGGCAAGGGGGUCAUCCCGACUUACCAACCCGAUGCAAACUGCGAAUACCGGAGAAUGUUAUCACGGGAGACACACGGCGGGUGCUAACGUCCGUCGUGAAGAGGGAAACAACCCAGACCGCCAGCUAAGGUCCCAAAGUCAUGGUUAAGUGGGAAACGAUGUGGGAAGGCCCAGACAGCCAGGAUGUUGGCUUAGAAGCAGCCAUCAUUUAAAGAAAGCGUAAUAGCUCACUGGUCGAGUCGGCCUGCGCGGAAGAUGUAACGGGGCUAAACCAUGCACCGAAGCUGCGGCAGCGACGCUGAUGCGUUGUUGGGUAGGGGAGCGUUCUGUAAGCCUGUGAAGGUGUGCUGUGAGGCAUGCUGGAGGUAUCAGAAGUGCGAAUGCUGACAUAAGUAACGAUAAAGCGGGUGAAAAGCCCGCUCGCCGGAAGACCAAGGGUUCCUGUCCAACGUUAAUCGGGGCAGGGUGAGUCGACCCCUAAGGCGAGGCCGAAAGGCGUAGUCGAUGGGAAACAGGUUAAUAUUCCUGUACUUGGUGUUACUGCGAAGGGGGGACGGAGAAGGCUAUGUUGGCCGGGCGACGGUUGUCCCGGUUUAAGCGUGUAGGCUGGUUUUCCAGGCAAAUCCGGAAAACUAAGGCUGAGGCGUGAUGACGAGGCACUACGGUGCUGAAGCAACAAAUGCCCUGCUUCCAGGAAAAGCCUCUAAGCAUCAGGUAACAUCAAAUCGUACCCCAAACCGACACAGGUGGUCAGGUAGAGAAUACCAAGGCGCUUGAGAGAACUCGGGUGAAGGAACUAGGCAAAAUGGUGCCGUAACUUCGGGAGAAGGCACGCUGAUAUGUAGGUGAAGUCCCUCGCGGAUGGAGCUGAAAUCAGUCGAAGAUACCAGCUGGCUGCAACUGUUUAUUAAAAACACAGCACUGUGCAAACACGAAAGUGGACGUAUACGGUGUGACGCCUGCCCGGUGCCGGAAGGUUAAUUGAUGGGGUCAGCGCAAGCGAAGCUCUUGAUCGAAGCCCCGGUAAACGGCGGCCGUAACUAUAACGGUCCUAAGGUAGCGAAAUUCCUUGUCGGGUAAGUUCCGACCUGCACGAAUGGCGUAAUGAUGGCCAGGCUGUCUCCACCCGAGACUCAGUGAAAUUGAACUCGCUGUGAAGAUGCAGUGUACCCGCGGCAAGACGGAAAGACCCCGUGAACCUUUACUAUAGCUUGACACUGAACAUUGAGCCUUGAUGUGUAGGAUAGGUGGGAGGCUUUGAAGUGUGGACGCCAGUCUGCAUGGAGCCGACCUUGAAAUACCACCCUUUAAUGUUUGAUGUUCUAACGUUGACCCGUAAUCCGGGUUGCGGACAGUGUCUGGUGGGUAGUUUGACUGGGGCGGUCUCCUCCUAAAGAGUAACGGAGGAGCACGAAGGUUGGCUAAUCCUGGUCGGACAUCAGGAGGUUAGUGCAAUGGCAUAAGCCAGCUUGACUGCGAGCGUGACGGCGCGAGCAGGUGCGAAAGCAGGUCAUAGUGAUCCGGUGGUUCUGAAUGGAAGGGCCAUCGCUCAACGGAUAAAAGGUACUCCGGGGAUAACAGGCUGAUACCGCCCAAGAGUUCAUAUCGACGGCGGUGUUUGGCACCUCGAUGUCGGCUCAUCACAUCCUGGGGCUGAAGUAGGUCCCAAGGGUAUGGCUGUUCGCCAUUUAAAGUGGUACGCGAGCUGGGUUUAGAACGUCGUGAGACAGUUCGGUCCCUAUCUGCCGUGGGCGCUGGAGAACUGAGGGGGGCUGCUCCUAGUACGAGAGGACCGGAGUGGACGCAUCACUGGUGUUCGGGUUGUCAUGCCAAUGGCACUGCCCGGUAGCUAAAUGCGGAAGAGAUAAGUGCUGAAAGCAUCUAAGCACGAAACUUGCCCCGAGAUGAGUUCUCCCUGACCCUUUAAGGGUCCUGAAGGAACGUUGAAGACGACGACGUUGAUAGGCCGGGUGUGUAAGCGCAGCGAUGCGUUGAGCUAACCGGUACUAAUGAACCGUGAGGCUUAACCUU
This 2902-nucleotide ribosomal RNA is filed under the name Escherichia coli. Its description in RNAcentral is "bacterial LSU rRNA". It matches the Rfam family "Bacterial large subunit ribosomal RNA". Lineage: Bacteria; Pseudomonadati; Pseudomonadota; Gammaproteobacteria; Enterobacterales; Enterobacteriaceae. The record is from RNAcentral.